This 332-nucleotide ribosomal RNA is filed under the name uncultured bacterium. RNAcentral's name for it is "bacterial SSU rRNA". It matches the Rfam family "Bacterial small subunit ribosomal RNA", at positions 568 to 898 of the family's 1533-position model. The record is from RNAcentral.
UGCGUAGGCGGUGCGGUAAGUCUUCUGUGAAACCUCCGGGCUUAACUCGGAGCCUGCAGGGGAAACUGCCGUGCUGGAGUAUGGGAGAGGUGAGUGGAAUUCCCGGCGUAGCGGUGAAAUGCGUAGAUAUCGGGAGGAACACCUGUGGCGAAAGCGGCUCACUGGACCAUUACUGACGCUGAUGCACGAAAGCUAGGGGAGCAAACAGGAUUAGAUACCCUGGUAGUCCUAGCCCUAAACGAUGAUCGCUUGGUGUGACAGGUAUCCAAUCCUGUCGUGCCGGAGCUAACGCGUUAAGCGAUCCGCCUGGGGAGUACGGUCGCAAGGCUGAA